Long non-coding RNA from Clupea harengus (Atlantic herring), 443 nucleotides. Lineage: Eukaryota; Metazoa; Chordata; Actinopteri; Clupeiformes; Clupeidae. The record is from Ensembl.
CAUAUCCCUGUGAUAGCUGCUGUUGUUGGAGUGGCAGUCUGUGGAGUUGUGGGUCUCCUCUGUGUCAUAUACUGGCUGAGAUCGUGUAAGGGAAAUAAGAAGUCAACAAAUCAAGACACACAGGAUGAUGUGGACUAUGAGAAUGAUCCUCAGGGAGGACGUUCUGGCGCCAUCAAGAUGAGUUCAGUUCACCAGAACCUGAACCCCAACACCGCCCAACCUGAUGCAGUUUACCAGAGCCUGAACCCCAACACCACCCAACCUGAUGCAGUUUACCAGCGCCUGAACCCCAACACCACCCAACCUGAUGCAGUUUACCAGAGCCUGAACCCCAACACCACCCAACCUGAUGCAGUUUACCAGAGCCUGAACCCCAACACCACCCAACCUGAUGCAGUUUACCAGAGCCUGAACCCCAACACCACCCAACCUGAUGCAGUUUA